UGUUGGAUUAAUUCGAUGCAACGACGAAAACCUUAACCUACCCUUCGACAUGUCCGGAAUCCCGAAGAGAUUUGGGAGUGCUCGCAAGAGAGCCGGAACACAGGUGCUGCAUGGCUGUCGUCAGCUCGUGUCGUGAGAUGUUGGGUUAAGUCCCGCAACGAGCGCAACCCUUGUCAUUAGUUGCCAUCAUUUGGUUGGGCACUCUAAUGAGACUGCCGGUGACAAACCGGAGGAAGGUGGGGAUGACGUCAAGUCCUCAUGGCCCUUAUGGGUAGGGCUUCACACGUCAUACAAUGGUCGGUACAGAGGGUUGCCAACCCGCGAGGGGGAGCUAAUCCCACAAAGCCGAUCGUAGUCCGGAUCGCAGUCUGCAACUCGACUGCGUGAAGUCGGAAUCGCUAGUAAUCGUGGAUCAGCAUGUCACGGUGAAUACGUUCCCGGGUCUU
Molecule: ribosomal RNA, 446 nt
Filed under: uncultured Rhodocyclaceae bacterium
Lineage: Bacteria; Pseudomonadati; Pseudomonadota; Betaproteobacteria; Rhodocyclales; Rhodocyclaceae
Description: bacterial SSU rRNA
Rfam family: Bacterial small subunit ribosomal RNA
Source: RNAcentral